This is a non-coding RNA of Ustilago trichophora, 120 nucleotides long. NCBI's taxonomy places the organism in Eukaryota, Fungi, Basidiomycota, Ustilaginomycetes, Ustilaginales, Ustilaginaceae. The record is from the annotation of a GenBank genome assembly.
UCCCAGUUAGUACAAUGGUCAGUAUAGGGCACUCUCAUAAACUAACCAUUGUACCAACCGAUAAGUUGGUUGGUUGGUGAUUGAUCUGCUCAGAUCAGGGUUCGAUUCCCUGGCCGGGAA